AAGGAUUUAAGUUAAAUCAAACUUGAAGCCUUCAAAGCUUCCAAUAAAGAGCAUUCAAUUCUUU
Molecule: transfer RNA, 64 nt
Filed under: Berosus affinis
Lineage: Eukaryota; Metazoa; Arthropoda; Insecta; Coleoptera; Hydrophilidae
Description: tRNA-Trp
Source: RNAcentral